RNAcentral lists this ribosomal RNA (450 nucleotides) under uncultured bacterium. RNAcentral's name for it is "partial 16S ribosomal RNA". It matches the Rfam family "Bacterial small subunit ribosomal RNA", at positions 354 to 796 of the family's 1533-position model. The record is from RNAcentral.
GUGGGGAAUUUUGGACAAUGGGCGCAAGCCUGAUCCAGCAAUGCCGCGUGCAGGAAGAAGGCCUUCGGGUUGUAAACUGCUUUUGUACGGAACGAAACGGUCCUGGUUAAUACCUGGGGCUAAUGACGGUACCGUAAGAAUAAGCACCGGCUAACUACGUGCCAGCAGCCGCGGUAAUACGUAGGGUGCAAGCGUUAAUCGGAAUUACUGGGCGUAAAGCGUGCGCAGGCGGUUUUGUAAGACAGGCGUGAAAUCCCCGGGCUCAACCUGGGAAUUGCGCUUGUGACUGCAAGGCUGGAGUGCGGCAGAGGGGGAUGGAAUUCCGCGUGUAGCAGUGAAAUGCGUAGAUAUGCGGAGGAACACCGAUGGCGAAGGCAAUCCCCUGGGCCUGCACUGACGCUCAUGCACGAAAGCGUGGGGAGCAAACAGGAUUAGAAACCCCGGUAGUCC